AGUGAAUAGAUACCCAGGUAGUCCAUGCUGUAGACGAUGGAUGCUAGCUGUGAUGCGUAUCGACCCGCGUCGUAGCGAAGCUAACGCGUUAAGCAUCCCGCCUGUGGAGUACGGCCGCAAGGCUAAAACAUAAAGGAAUUGACGGGGACCCGCACAAAGCGGUGGAGCGUGUUGUUUAAUUCGAUGGUAAGCGAAGAACCUUACCCAGGUUUGACAUCCUUGGAAGUUCUGCGAAAGCAGAGUGUGCCUUCGGGAACCAAGUGACAGGUGAUGCAUGGCCGUCUUCAGCUCGUGUCGUGAGACGUUAGGUUAAGUCCUUCAACGAGCGCAACCCUUAUAGUUAGUUGUAUUUUCUAGCUAAACUGCCCUGGUAACAGGGAGGAAGGAGGGGACGAUGUCAGGUCAGUAUCUCCCUUAUAUCUGGGGCUACAAACACGCUACAAUGGCCGGUACAAAGGGAAGCCAACCGCGAGGGGAGCAAAUCCCAUCAAAGCCGGUCUCAGUUCGGAUUGUAGGCUGAAACUCGCCUGC
RNAcentral lists this ribosomal RNA (531 nucleotides) under uncultured bacterium. Its description in RNAcentral is "bacterial SSU rRNA". It matches the Rfam family "Bacterial small subunit ribosomal RNA", at positions 773 to 1319 of the family's 1533-position model. The record is from RNAcentral.